UAUCACAUUUGCCUAGAUAAAUAUGUAAGGCUACUUAACCCAUACUUUCAAUACGACUCGUAGCUCAGUCGUAAGGGUCGGUUCACUUCUACCAGCUUGACGCAAUUCCAAUUUAUUGAUCACACCAUAUGUUUUUGCAUAUUUGCUUGACAUUGACCUCACGAGCUUAGAUUUUACCUCAACGUUAACCUUUGAACCAGCAUGAGCUUUCAUCCCAUUAUUACUUAUACACCGUACGUACGUACAUAUGUAUGUAUAAACCUUACUAUAUUACAUAUAUUCCACCUUUGUUCAACUAACCAGUGCUUAUCAUCUCACUAAGCUACCAUCCCGUACGUGUUCUGUUUACUUAUCAGGACGAGCUUAUCAAGACUCAGGAGGGACAGCCAUCCAGCACAGCGGAGGAUCAUGCGGAACAAAUGUAAAACUUUUGUAAACUCGAUCCUAAUUUCACUGAACGAUACGUAACUAUUUUGUUUAAUAUGACAUCUUUACCCGAUUGGUCAGAUCUUUCAUGCACGCUCCACUCAACACCCACCUGACCCCCUAAUCAAUUAUGAGAGGGACACGUUGCCAGAAGAAUUGGAGAAUAUUCCACCUUGCCACGCCUUGUUGCCCAGGGAGAAUUCAUGCAAUAUUUUCUCUUUUGUGGUUAAAUUUUAAAUCAACCCAGCAACAUUUUUAGUCGUGGAUGUUGCACAUUGCUCAUUAUUUUGCACAAAUAUGGCCACGUCGUCGACACGUGAUUUCUUUUCAAUUUUAUUUUUUACGUUGUCGAUUGCAUACAUAAAAGUACGCCCAUAUUACUCCAGUUGUAACAAACGGAACAACAACUUAAUUUUGCUUGUUUGGAGAUGGGUAAAACGCAGAAGGGGUUUUAAACUAAAAAAAAACCUCUGGAGAACGAAAACAUCAGAAAGUUUAAUAUCCUGCUGGGUGAGCGACCGUGUAAUACUACGUAUCGGCACCAUUAUUAGAUCAAAAGGAUCCAAUUCAUUUAUCUGAAAGUGGUGAAGAUUUCAAUCUCAAUUCGCUCUCCCCGUUCGAGAGCGGUAACGAGAUGGACUUCUCCGAUCUUCUGGUCGCUUCUCCUAUGCCAUUCAUCAAGCGACAUGAGUUGGGCGGGUCGUUCUCAGAAUUAAUCUGGUCCCCCAUGGGGUUGCGGUUGCAAGAAAAUUCCAUCGCCUUGGCUGAUAACGACAUUUCCCUUCCCGGCAGUGAUUUCAUCAAUCCAGCCGAGUUAUCUUUCCCAGAUAAGAUAAGUACUGAUGAAUCAUCCAUACCACUACCACCAGCAGCAGAGGCAAUCUUAUCGUGUGUUCCGCCUCGAUGUACUGAAUCACCACCACUUGGUCACAACCUCAAUAAUAUUUUAUUGCCUCUACAAACCUUAUCUCAACCAGCACAACACAACGAACCGAGUUUAUGUUCAUCUAUAAAAAAGAAGAGGGGUCGACCUCCCAAAUUGAAACAACCCGCCCCACUAACUCCACCCAGGGUGAAAAAAUACGACUUGGAACCUUCCAGCAAACCAAUCAGGAACGCUAUUGCCGCUCGGAAAAACAGAAUUCGAGCGAAGGAACGAUUCGAAAAGCUCGAAGCCGACCUAGCCGGUAAGGAAGGUAUAAUAUCGCGACAAAACAAAACGAUUGAAAAGCUGCAGGCAGAAAUUUUAGAGUUAAAGGCUACACUUGACCGCAUCGAGCAGACUUUAAAUUCUUCCAGGCGACAAAAUCAGACUUCGAAUUUCGGAAGGGAAGAUGGUAAUUGAAUAUGCAUGCACUGUAAUGGUUGGGGCCUUCCAUUAAUUAUGUGACGCAAAAAUUUUCGCGAUUUUUUAGACCUCCAGUACCCUCGCAACAUGUGUAUGUAACAUAGGCACGAUAGAAUUUGAGCCUUAGACCCACCCUCUCCCCCCUCUUGCAGUGCGUAAUUUAUGGAAGGCCCCAAGGGGCGCCCACAGAUUACGUAACGCUGGCCAGCAUGGUCAAGUUUUCGUAAUUAUGUAUACAUAUAACCGGGAAAUGACUAUAUUUUGUACAGACUUCCGGCAGGAUAAUUUGCAACUCGAUUAGAUCUAGGAUAAAUUUAACACGGAUACUGUUGUCAAUCCAAUUUCACAAAUGUUUAUUAUAAAAAUUAUCCAAAAUGGCAGAUAGAUAGUUUAACUGCAUAAAUAAUAUAUGAUAAAAUCAUAUCUAGUAAGUUGAGAAGUUCUUGGCGGGAACAAUAACUAACAAUAAGUAUAAAUACACAAUAGUUUUCCGAAAUUAUGUCACUUGUACUAUACAUGGGUAGUAACUUCAAUAAUUAAAAAAUUGAGCCAGGGUUCCAAAUUUCAUGUCAAAAUUUCAAAAACUUACACCGCCAUUUAUUGUACUUGGAGGACUUUAGGUUUGGCGAUUUUAUUGCUUAAUCCACCCCCAUUAUUGGUGCUGGAUCGCGUGGCAAAAUCUUCAAACUAGAACUCCUCCAAGUACAAUAAAUGUAAUCUUUCUCUAUCAAAAUAAUGUUAUUGGAUAGUUAAUAAGUGUGUACGUUCAUUAAAUAGAUGCAAAUUACUUUAAAUCUAGUUUAAAUCUAACUUUGUUUGAAAUUGUCAUAAGUUUAAAAAACAUAGAACACAUAUAUUCAGUAAUCAUUUGAAAUUAAAAAAUUACAACGAAAAAUCCUAAUAAAACAGCUUUUAGAUAGGUUAAUUUAAUUCUAAACACUAAUAUAAAUGUCUCGGUUACUCAUAUGUAUAGUUUGAAAACUGAAGCAAUGCAGAUUUUGCUGAAUUUAUCUUUAAUUAAAAGAGUUAUUUGAGUUUUAAUAAAAAGCUGAAAAAUAUAUAUUAAAUAAAAUUAAAUCAUAGAAAAUUAAAACGAAAAAAAUCAAAAUAGAGAAGCUUUAAAACAGAUUGGUUUAGCUAAAAAAUAAAUAUAUCUUGUUUAAUUAUGGAUAUUUAUUAAAUGAAAAUUGCUUUAGAUUUAGCUUUAAGUAAAAUCUUCCUUGAUACUUAAAAAAUAUAUCAAAUACGUAUCCUAUAACCAUAAAAAAUUUAAAACAAAUAAAUCAU
This is an RNA transcript of Folsomia candida, 3061 nucleotides long. RefSeq lists it as uncharacterized. The transcript is spliced from 3 exons. NCBI's taxonomy places the organism in Eukaryota, Metazoa, Arthropoda, Collembola, Entomobryomorpha, Isotomidae. The record is from RefSeq and is a predicted model, not a curated record.